This 598-nucleotide long non-coding RNA is filed under the name Mytilus galloprovincialis (Mediterranean mussel). The record is from RNAcentral. Lineage: Eukaryota; Metazoa; Mollusca; Bivalvia; Mytilida; Mytilidae.
CUCUGGGAAUAAUAGUAUAGAGUUCGUCUUCAUUGUUUGACCAUGGGGGGUCCCCUGACUGAACUACUGUUCCCACCUUCUGUUUACCCUUAUUUCACACGUUCCUGCUUUAUUACCUUGCAAUUUUAUUAGCGUAAGGCAUGAAUAUUGUAACCGGGGCCCAUACAUGCUAAGAGUAAGCUUAGAUAAGUCCCGUUUGUCCAUUUCCCGACUCGACAGAAUGUCAACAUUCCGAUCGCCGCCAUUUACAUCACUAUGUUUAUUGACGUCAGUGACCUAAUGACCUGAGAUCAGCAUCCAAUCAGCAUAACGUAAUUUGCCCACGAUCUCCAUAGGGGCACGAGACGUUGGUGGGACAGAGAUAUAAAAGCAAGUGCACAACAGUCUUCAGAUAGACUGCGUCCCGCUACCAGGGCAGUCACUCCUGAUACCAAGGAACUUACCAAGGCAAACCAAAAGUGCCGCAGUCGAUGCAAUGCAUGUACCUUGCUAGUGUAUGCAUCCCGUUGAAUAAAUGGACCAAACCAUAAUUGACCUAGAUGUUUUACUACGUUUACUACGAUGUUGACAAACGAUUAACGUACCGAAAAGGGGGGUC